Molecule: non-coding RNA, 47 nt
Organism: Larimichthys crocea (large yellow croaker)
Lineage: Eukaryota; Metazoa; Chordata; Actinopteri; Sciaenidae
Source: Rfam
UGCAAGGCUCUUUUCAGAGCCACUGGAGUCUCAGAGAUGCUAAUCUU